Molecule: ribosomal RNA, 248 nt
Filed under: uncultured bacterium
Lineage: Bacteria
Description: partial 16S ribosomal RNA
Rfam family: Bacterial small subunit ribosomal RNA
Source: RNAcentral
CCUACGGGGGGCAGCAGUGAGGAAUAUUGGUCAAUGGCCGAGAGGCUGAACCAGCCAAGUCGCGUGAGGGAUGACGGCCCUACGGGUUGUAAACCUCUUUUGUCGGGGAGCAAGACCCGCCACGAGUGGCGGAGCGAGAGUACCCGAAGAAAAAGCAUCGGCUAACUCCGUGCCAGCAGCCGCGGUAAUACGUAGGGUGCGAGCGUUAAUCGGAAUUACUGGGCGUAAAGGGUGCGCAGGCGGUUGAG